Molecule: ribosomal RNA, 362 nt
Filed under: uncultured bacterium
Lineage: Bacteria
Description: partial 16S ribosomal RNA
Rfam family: Bacterial small subunit ribosomal RNA
Source: RNAcentral
CCUACGGGUGGCAGCAGUGAGGAAUAUUGGUCAAUGGACGCAAGUCUGAACCAGCAAUGCCGCGUGCAGGAAGACGGCUCUAUGAUUUGUAACCUGCUUUUGGACGGGCGUAAACGCAGAUACGUGUAUCUGUCUGAAAGUAUAGUACGAAUAAGGAUCGGCUAACUCUGGGCCAGCAGCCGCGGUAAUCCGGAGGAUGCAAGCGUUAACCGGAUUUAUGGGGUUUAAUGGUUGAGUAGGGGGUAGGAUAAGUUAGAGGUGAAAUCCCGGGGCUCAACUUCGGACUUGCAUUUGAUACUGUUCGGCGUGAGAGUAGGUGCGGUAGGCGGAAUGGAUGGUGUAGCGGUGAAAUGCGUAGAGAU